RNAcentral lists this long non-coding RNA (1631 nucleotides) under Prunus persica (peach). Its description in RNAcentral is "long non-coding RNA (PPER_LNC006373)". Lineage: Eukaryota; Viridiplantae; Streptophyta; Magnoliopsida; Rosales; Rosaceae. The record is from RNAcentral.
AUUAGUUUAUAAGAUAUCAUGGGAAGGAAGCUUAUGGCUCAGUGUUCAUGUUGGCUAAACAAUGGUCCUGAGUAGAUACGUGUAGAGGAGCUUCUGUGUGCUUGGAAUGGAGCUUUUUACACGUGUUUGGCCCUAGAGAAUUGGUCCCCGCAUUGAAGGUCGAGCCAUAGAGGCGGUGGUCUGUCUUGGAAGUACACUAUAAAUAAUCAUAUAUAUAUAUAUAUAUACAUAUCGAAGUUAUGGAGAUGGGGAUGGUAAUUGGUCGGGCAUGACAAGCCCAUUGGUCACAUGGAUUCACAUGUGAGCCAGAUGCCCUUUGCUCUGUAAUUGACAUGGGGAAGCAGAUGAAGAGGUCCUAUGUGUAUAUAGGUCAUUGGUCGAGCUUGUCAGAAGGCUCUUGACUGGUUUGAAAGAGAUUGAUGGAGGAGGAGGAGAAGGAAUAUAUAUGAAUAAUUGGUGUGUUUGUGUUUAUGGUCAUUGGUGGUUCGAAUAUUGUACCGAUUGCAUGCAUGAAUGUGUUCAAUUCUUUUUUCUUUUCUUUUUUGAGUAGAGGACGUAUGAAUAAUAAUGCAUUUUGUUUGCCAACAAAGGGUCUGACUUGCAUAACAAUGGUUUUAGGUCCGAAUUCUCGUGUUAUCUCUUGAUAAUAGUGUGUGAAAAAAAAAUCUUCUUUUAUUUUUAUAGUAUUUUAGACUAUCGCUUAUAUUAAUAAAUAUAAUUCAUUUUGCUUGGUAGAAGAGUCAAUGAUUGAAUUAUUUGAACUCCAACUCCUCUCUUUCUUGAACAUUAUUGAAUAUGGAAGGAAGAGUCAAGAAGUGUCUCCUCACUCGUGGUCUCAAUAAAUGUGGGAAAGCAAAACCUAAAAACAAAAGAGAAAAAGACGACGAAGAACACACCAUGAAGUCCAUGACAUUGAUAUAAUUAAUGGUUUUGUAUUGUUCUUGGUGAAAAAAAGCAAUGGUCGAUCAAUUGCAUUGGAUCAAUAGGGUUUUUAGCAGCCAGGCUAAAAAGCAGUAAGGUCUAGAGCUUGUAUAAGUAGACAAUUGAGAUUUGGCCAUUCACUUCUCCCUAGAUUCCUCCUAGCUAUGAGUUCUAUCUUGAUAAAUUAAUAGCUUGGUUGAAAUAAUAACAUUUUGUCUCUCCACAAGGACAAUACAUAUAAAAUUAAUACUUUAAAUCAAUUAAUAAGCCACAUGUAGUAAAUUGGAGUUACAAUCGUGAUAUUUUAAAGUACUCUAAUAUACAUAAAGGGGUUAUGAACUCAAGUGCAAUACGACAAGUACAUUGCUUUAACUAAUUUGCAUAACCCAUAUUUUCUAGCAAAUUGACGCUUUGGGAAAAAAAAAAAUUUAUAUGAAUAAUUAAACAAGUUAAAUAUAAUAUUGUCACUUCUAAAAACGUAUGGAUAAAUAACUCAUUAAAAAGUAUUAAAGUAUAAAUUUAUCUACGCAUGUUAAAAUGUGAUUGGUUGGUAAGUACUAAGCAUUUUUUAUAAAAAAUAAAUAAGUAAUUUAAAGUAUAGAUUAAAAUGCACUAUUUGGAAACUAGAAAUUAAAAAAAGAAAAUAAACAGAAUGAACUAAAAAUCCCCUACUUUUAAAUAAAUUUAGUAAUCUAUCAAUUCCUAAGUUG